UAGGGAAUCUUCCGCAAUGGGCGAAAGCCUGACGGAGCAACGCCGCGUGAGUGAUGAAGGUCUUCGGAUCGUAAAACUCUGUUAUCAGGGAAGAACAAAUGUGUAAGUAACUGUGCACGUCUUGACGGUACCUGAUCAGAAAGCCACGGCUAACUACGUG
RNAcentral lists this ribosomal RNA (160 nucleotides) under Bacillus sp. 20. RNAcentral's name for it is "partial 16S ribosomal RNA". It matches the Rfam family "Bacterial small subunit ribosomal RNA", at positions 355 to 507 of the family's 1533-position model. The record is from RNAcentral. Lineage: Bacteria; Bacillati; Bacillota; Bacilli; Caryophanales; Bacillaceae.